This is a non-coding RNA of Pelobates cultripes (western spadefoot toad), 974 nucleotides long. The record is from the annotation of a GenBank genome assembly. Lineage: Eukaryota; Metazoa; Chordata; Amphibia; Anura; Pelobatidae.
GUCUAACAUCAUAAACCCUGUUUCAGAGGAGACCCGAAACCUGGCAGGACAAGGUAAGAGGGCAAGCCAUCGUAAAACAGUUUUCCCCAUACCAAGAAAUGGCACCAGAAUACUCAUAAUUCUGUAACCACUACAGUGGACUCUAAUCAUUAUGAUGGUUGAAUCCAUCUUAAGUAACCUUUAAUUAGUUGAUGUAAAUCUUUUUCAUCUUACAUUGUUCUUUUGAAGUUUAUAUAAACAGCACAACAUAUUUUAUAGCUAUAAGUGUAAAGUUAAAAUGCCAAGACUUGUAUUUAUGUACAAGGGUAUGAAAUAGUCAAAUUACUCUGAGGUAUCUAUCCUUUUAUACGCAUGGGGGUUCUUGUUACGGAUUCUGGAAUAUCUAUGGCAUUCUAGAACCUCUCUGAGCCCCUUCUAGUAGUAUGGCAGAUUGUAGCCAGAUGUAUAGUGAUCUGUCAGUGUUAUCAUACAGAUUAUUAGGAGUAGAGGCACUGAUGUUAAAACUGAGGUACAAAGUAUCAUGGCUCCGACCAGUUGGAGAGUAUCGGACACGGAAAAGAUGGCACCUAGUCCGAAAUUAAUGAUUGAGAAGGAUAGAUGGAAUUGGAAAUGAAAAGGAUAACAUAAUUAUCCAAAAGAGAAAUUAAUCUUGCAUCCUUUGUAUUGGCUCUAAUAAAUUUAGGUUUGCUGUACUUCUGAAGUGGAAAAGGGAAGAGAAGGAUGGAUUAUUGAUUGGUGGGGAAAAGAAAAUGAAAAGAGAAAUAUAAUGGCGGAUAUAGAGGAAACUAUUAAGAGAUUUUAAGAGUAAUAGAAGAGAAUUGGCAGGUCCCCACAUUUAUAUGGAAAUCAAAAAACACUUAAAAAAAAAGAAUACCAAAAAAAUUAGGAGAAUGUCACCAGAUCAUGUGGUUUUUAUAUGUCAUGUUGCUUGGGAGGAAAAUUUUCUAAUUUAUCAUUAUCAUACUGCAGAAUUU